This 209-nucleotide unclassified non-coding RNA is filed under the name Hevea brasiliensis (rubber tree). The record is from RNAcentral. Lineage: Eukaryota; Viridiplantae; Streptophyta; Magnoliopsida; Malpighiales; Euphorbiaceae.
GUAAAUUAUGAAAAUUGUAUUUGUGAAUGGAAAAGUAAAUGGUUAUUUAUGAUUUAUAUGUGAUCAUCACAUGUGAUGGAUGAUUGAGAACUGGAAUUGAAAUGUUGUUGAGAUCUUAAUAUUGAUGAGAUUUUGUUGAUAAAUUGAAGUUGGGAUUGUUUGGAAAUUAUUUGGAAGUGUUUUUAACAGGUUCCGAAGAACUGUUUUCU